CCUACGGGAGGCAGCAGUGGGGAAUAUUGGGCAAUGGGCGCAAGCCUGAUCCAGCAACGCCGCGUGAAGGAAGAAGGCUUUCGGGUUGUAAACUUCUUUUCUCAGGGACGAAGAUAGUGACGGUACCUGAGGAAUAAGCCACGGCUAACUACGUGCCAGCAGCCGCGGUAAUACGUAGGUGGCAAGCGUUAUCCUGUUUUACUGGGUGUAAAGGGCGUGUAGGCGGGACAGCAAGUCAGAUGUGAAAACCAUGGGCUCAACCUGUGGCCUGCAUUUGAAACUGUUUUUCUUGAGUACUGGAGAGGCAGACGGAAUUCCUAGUGUAGCGGUGAAAUGCGUAGAUAUUAGGAGGAACACCAGUGGCGAAGGCGGUCUGCUGGACAGCAACUGACGCUGAGGCGCGAAAGCGUGGGGAGCAAACAGGAUUAGAUACCCCAGUAGUC
RNAcentral lists this ribosomal RNA (443 nucleotides) under uncultured bacterium. RNAcentral's name for it is "partial 16S ribosomal RNA". It matches the Rfam family "Bacterial small subunit ribosomal RNA", at positions 338 to 795 of the family's 1533-position model. The record is from RNAcentral.